This 2927-nucleotide ribosomal RNA is filed under the name Salmonella enterica subsp. enterica serovar Newport str. CVM 21538. RNAcentral's name for it is "bacterial LSU rRNA". It matches the Rfam family "Bacterial large subunit ribosomal RNA". The record is from RNAcentral. Lineage: Bacteria; Pseudomonadati; Pseudomonadota; Gammaproteobacteria; Enterobacterales; Enterobacteriaceae.
GGGUUGUGAGGUUAAGCGACUAAGCGUACACGGUGGAUGCCCUGGCAGUCAGAGGCGAUGAAGGGCGUGCUAAUCUGCGAUAAGCGCCGGUAAGGUGAUAUGAACCGUUAUAACCGGCGAUACCCGAAUGGGGAAACCCAGUGUGACUCGUCACACUAUCAUUAACUGAAUCCAUAGGUUAAUGAGGCGAACCGGGGGAACUGAAACAUCUAAGUACCCCGAGGAAAAGAAAUCAACCGAGAUUCCCCCAGUAGCGGCGAGCGAACGGGGAGGAGCCCAGAGCCUGAAUCAGCAUGUGUGUUAGUGGAAGCGUCUGGAAAGGCGCGCGAUACAGGGUGACAGCCCCGUACACAAAAGCGCAUGUGCUGUGAGCUCGAUGAGUAGGGCGGGACACGUGGUAUCCUGUCUGAAUAUGGGGGGACCAUCCUCCAAGGCUAAAUACUCCUGACUGACCGAUAGUGAACCAGUACCGUGAGGGAAAGGCGAAAAGAACCCCGGCGAGGGGAGUGAAAAAGAACCUGAAACCGUGUACGUACAAGCAGUGGGAGCACAGGUUUACCUGUGUGACUGCGUACCUUUUGUAUAAUGGGUCAGCGACUUAUAUUCUGUAGCAAGGUUAACCGAAUAGGGGAGCCGGAGGGAAACCGAGUCUUAAUUGGGCGUUAAGUUGCAGGGUAUAGACCCGAAACCCGGUGAUCUAGCCAUGGGCAGGUUGAAGGUUGGGUAACACUAACUGGAGGACCGAACCGACUAAUGUUGAAAAAUUAGCGGAUGACCUGUGGCUGGGGGUGAAAGGCCAAUCAAACCGGGAGAUAGCUGGUUCUCCCCGAAAGCUAUUUAGGUAGCGCCUCGUGAAUUCAUCUCCGGGGGUAGAGCACUGUUUCGGCUAGGGGGCCAUCCCGGCUUACCAACCCGAUGCAAACUGCGAAUACCGGAGAAUGUUAUCACGGGAGACACACGGCGGGUGCUAACGUCCGUCGUGAAGAGGGAAACAACCCAGACCGCCAGCUAAGGUCCCAAAGUCAUGGUUAAGUGGGAAACGAUGUGGGAAGGCCCAGACAGCCAGGAUGUUGGCUUAGAAGCAGCCAUCAUUUAAAGAAAGCGUAAUAGCUCACUGGUCGAGUCGGCCUGCGCGGAAGAUGUAACGGGGCUAAACCAUGCACCGAAGCUGCGGCAGCGACACUGUGUGUUGUUGGGUAGGGGAGCGUUCUGUAAGCCUGUGAAGGUGGCCUGUGAGGGUUGCUGGAGGUAUCAGAAGUGCGAAUGCUGACAUAAGUAACGAUAAAGCGGGUGAAAAGCCCGCUCGCCGGAAGACCAAGGGUUCCUGUCCAACGUUAAUCGGGGCAGGGUGAGUCGACCCCUAAGGCGAGGCCGAAAGGCGUAGUCGAUGGGAAACAGGUUAAUAUUCCUGUACUUGGUGUUACUGCGAAGGGGGGACGGAGAAGGCUAUGUUGGCCGGGCGACGGUUGUCCCGGUUUAAGCGUGUAGGUGUGUGUUCCAGGUAAAUCCGGUUCACUUUAACACUGAGGCGUGAUGACGAGGCACUACGGUGCUGAAGCAACAAAUGCCCUGCUUCCAGGAAAAGCCUCUAAGCAUCAGGUAACAUCAAAUCGUACCCCAAACCGACACAGGUGGUCAGGUAGAGAAUACCAAGGCGCUUGAGAGAACUCGGGUGAAGGAACUAGGCAAAAUGGUGCCGUAACUUCGGGAGAAGGCACGCUGACACGUAGGUGAAGUGAUUUACUCAUGGAGCUGAAGUCAGUCGAAGAUACCAGCUGGCUGCAACUGUUUAUUAAAAACACAGCACUGUGCAAACACGAAAGUGGACGUAUACGGUGUGACGCCUGCCCGGUGCCGGAAGGUUAAUUGAUGGGGUCAGCGCAAGCGAAGCUCCUGAUCGAAGCCCCGGUAAACGGCGGCCGUAACUAUAACGGUCCUAAGGUAGCGAAAUUCCUUGUCGGGUAAGUUCCGACCUGCACGAAUGGCGUAAUGAUGGCCAGGCUGUCUCCACCCGAGACUCAGUGAAAUUGAACUCGCUGUGAAGAUGCAGUGUACCCGCGGCAAGACGGAAAGACCCCGUGAACCUUUACUAUAGCUUGACACUGAACAUUGAGCCUUGAUGUGUAGGAUAGGUGGGAGGCUUUGAAGUGUGGACGCCAGUCUGCAUGGAGCCGACCUUGAAAUACCACCCUUUAAUGUUUGAUGUUCUAACGUGGACCCGUAAUCCGGGUUGCGGACAGUGUCUGGUGGGUAGUUUGACUGGGGCGGUCUCCUCCUAAAGAGUAACGGAGGAGCACGAAGGUUGGCUAAUCCUGGUCGGACAUCAGGAGGUUAGUGCAAUGGCAUAAGCCAGCUUGACUGCGAGCGUGACGGCGCGAGCAGGUGCGAAAGCAGGUCAUAGUGAUCCGGUGGUUCUGAAUGGAAGGGCCAUCGCUCAACGGAUAAAAGGUACUCCGGGGAUAACAGGCUGAUACCGCCCAAGAGUUCAUAUCGACGGCGGUGUUUGGCACCUCGAUGUCGGCUCAUCACAUCCUGGGGCUGAAGUAGGUCCCAAGGGUAUGGCUGUUCGCCAUUUAAAGUGGUACGCGAGCUGGGUUUAGAACGUCGUGAGACAGUUCGGUCCCUAUCUGCCGUGGGCGCUGGAGAACUGAGGGGGCUGCUCCUAGUACGAGAGGACCGGAGUGGACGCAUCACUGGUGUUCGGGUUGUCAUGCCAAUGGCACUGCCCGGUAGCUAAAUGCGGAAGAGAUAAGUGCUGAAAGCAUCUAAGCACGAAACUUGCCCCGAGAUGAGUUCUCCCUGAGACUUAGAGUCUCCUGAAGGAACGUUGAAGACGACGACGUUGAUAGGCCGGGUGUGUAAGCGCAGCGAUGCGUUGAGCUAACCGGUACUAAUGAACCGUGAGGCUUAACCUUACAACGCCGAAG